Molecule: ribosomal RNA, 428 nt
Filed under: uncultured bacterium
Lineage: Bacteria
Description: bacterial SSU rRNA
Rfam family: Bacterial small subunit ribosomal RNA
Source: RNAcentral
AGGGGAAUUUUGGACAAUGGGCGCAAGCCUGAUCCAGCCAUUCCGCGUGAGUGAAGAAGGCAUUCGGGUUGUAAAGCUCUUUCGCAAGGGAAGAAAACUUAGGCUCUAACAUAGCCUGAGGUUGACGGUACCUUGAUAAGAAGCACCGGCUAACUACGUGCCAGCAGCCGCGGUAAUACGUAGGGUGCGAGCGUUAAUCGGAAUUACUGGGCGUAAAGCGUGCGCAGGCGGUUUUGUAAGUCAGAUGUGAAAUCCCCGAGCUCAACUUGGGAACUGCGUUUGAAACUACAAGACUAGAAUAUGUCAGAGGGGGGUAGAAUUCCACGUGUAGCAGUGAAAUGCGUAGAGAUGUGGAGGAAUACCAAUGGCGAAGGCAGCCCCCUGGGAUAAUAUUGACGCUCAGACACGAAAGCGUGGGGAGCAAACAG